UGAUGGCUUGGAGUUGAGUAAUAAGACAAUAAUGAAAAUAAUGACGUCCUGUGGCUCGCUCGCAUCGUUUUUUUCUAAUCCCUAUGAUGCAGUCAAAUAGAGUUGGUCACAGUACUUGAGGAUCUACAAAGGAGGGUGGCAUAAAUAGAGUUAAGCUUUUUUAAGUGCCAGGCAAUUUCAAAUGCAACUUUCCAAGAUGGAGAAAGAUGUAAGAAAGGGGGAGCAGAAGAGGAAGAAGAUGAGAGCUAGGUACAGUACUUCCAGCUGCUGACAAUAAUCUUUUUUAUACAACUGAUACUUGUUUUGGGUUGCUGAGAUAUUGUUGAAGCACCGUCUGCUUUGAUAGCAGCCUUCAGCUCUUUUUAUUUUUGGUUCAGGUGUUUUUCAUCAAUCCAGAAGAUUCUCCGUGGCUCUCGGGAGAUGACUGGCCAAUCAAGCAGUGUGAGAAGAUGGUCAGCGAACGAUUUGGUAUUAGUUUUGGCACUCAGAGUAGAGUGUGUCAACAGAUGGAAGCAUGAAGUGCUCUGAAGUCUCCAUGCAGAUGGCAGUGUUGACUUUGGACUUGACAAAGCAGAGCAGACCAACCACCACCAACAGCAACAGAUGAAACCUUAAAUCAUCACAGAUACCAAAACGUCACACUGGACUUCAGAAACCUUGGAUUGAGCCUCUUCCUACAGAAUCCAGGACUUUGAUUUCCAAAUGAAACGAAGAAUUUACUUUAAUCUGAAAAGAGUAUUUUAAACCACUGACUGAUGCUCCACUUCUUUUUCUUUCUGUAGCCCAGCAGGUGGAGCAAUGGCAAGAGAGGGAUAAGUGGUCCGAGUGAGGCAGUGUGGGCUACAGGAAGAGGGGAUCAGUCGAGUACUGUGACAGGAGGACAGACAGUAUGACAUCAGUAACUCAGGAGCUGCUGAUGACCUGCUUUAUCCAGUUGGUGAGCCUGGUGAUGCGAGUGUAGACACCAUAGUAGUCUGGACGCCCACAGCCUCUACCCCAGCUCACCACCCCGGCCAGGAACCAGCGACCUGAAGGCUCCUGACACACCAAGGGACCGCCCGAGUCUCCCUAACAGACAAAGGUAACGUUAACGAGGCACAAAUAAGACUGGGUCUUCACAGCACAGAGGCACCAUAAUAAUUGACAGUACUUAUAAUUACUACAGUGACUCACUAUAUCAUCAUCAUCAGGGGUUCUUAGAUAUGUGGCUUUUAAAACUCAUUUUAUAACAUCGAUGUGUUUUAAAAAAAACUGGGCUAAAAAGAGGAAAUAACGUUAUAGAUUUUUUUAAUAUUUAAAAUUUUAAUCGGUUUCUCCUUUUUUGUGGCUUUGAGGACAUCUUGACAGAGAGCAAGACUACACGAUUCUAAGUGAUACAUAGAAUUUUACUUUCAUUGCAUCAUAUCAACUUUAAAACACUGCAGGAACUUAUUGAAUUUAGAUUUUUUGUAAUAUUAGUUAUAUUAAAGAGAGAAUCCAUACAAAAUCAGUUUAAUUUAAAUCUCUGCUUUGAUUUUACCUACAGUUUCUUGGCAGUUCUACAUACACACUUGUGCGGUAUCUCCACCCAGCAAACCAAAGCCUGGUCCUCUUUUGACUUGUUUUGUUCACUCUUCUUUUUUCAAAUGCAGGUAAAGAUAUUUUAGACGGGAAUGGUGAGACUGACAAAACAGUAAAACUGCAGGCUGUAAAGGAAACAAUGUGUAGAGCUGAGGGGAUGAAGUGCUAAGUGUUGUGUUGGACAUUCUGAGUUUCACUUGCUUUUUAAUUUUUAGUCAUUUGAUCCAUUUUUGCUGCCAAAGUUCAAAGCACAUGCAGCUUGUAUUUCUUUGUACCUGACAGGCAUCUUUCCUUCCAUUGCGGUAACCGGCACAAAGCAUUCUGGGAGUAACCAGGUGUCCAUAGGAACGGAUGCAGGAUUCCUCGCUAACCAGGCGCACAUCAACUUUCUGAAGCACAUUACUGGCUGUGCCUGGGAAAAGUAAGAGGACAGAGUGACAGAGGGCAAAAGAAUAUCCUCUCAGUCGUAAUGCUGUUGAGUCUUUGUGCACUGCUUAAGGCCCCAGUAACACUAGCUUAGAGACCCAUUAGCAAUUGUCUGGAAAUGGCCAGUGAUGAGGGAAAAACAAGUUUUCCCUGACUGCGAGUGCUUUUGGGAGGUUGUUGCAAAAAGGUAUACAUUUCUGCACUGACAACCUUCUUUUGAUUGUUUUGGUUGUCAUCACUCAUAGUACGCCUGGAAAAUGCUAACUAGUGUUCAGAGUCAAAUCUGUGUCUUCUGAAACAUGUUGGUUUCAACUGUAAGACACAACGUUUACCGUGAAGCCAAACAUUCUCCGUUUUCACUUCCCAUCGCACUUUUCAACUUUCACUGUUGACUUGUCUGCAGACAAAUCAGCAUACUUUCAUGCAAACUGCAGCAAUCUGCUAGCGAGCAAAGCAAUCACAGAGAAGAUUUUGGUGCAGCACCAUUUGCAAUAGAUAUCACCCAACAGCACUAAUAACACUCUGCAACCUCCAGUGUCCAAUAAACAUUCCUAAUGUGCCCUUUCUGGACUGGUAUGAGGGAACCUAUUGUGUGCUUGCCCAUAGAAAGCUCAUACAGGGGUCCUAAAGGGGCAAAGGUGCUGUGGAUCCUGUGUGUGCACAGGUAUUUCUACUCUGAGCAUUUUAACCACUUUCCUAGAAGGCUCAAAGAAAAGACAAUUUAAUUCAAACACUUUUUCCUAGAACUAAGUGCUUUGUCUAACAUUCCCCGACACACUGUAGACUGAAGUAUCCAGAGAAAUUGAUCCACCAACCUUCCAGCUGCUAUAUUACCCAUGCUAUCUAAUGAGGCACAGCCACCCGACUUUGGGCCUACAUGUCUGUAUGUCUGCCAGCAUAUUACUUAUAUUAAUGAAACACUAUACAGGGUAAUGAAACCACGGAACAUGUUUUAGUACACUGCAAGAAAUAACAGGAGACUGAGAAGCUGAGAGAAGGUGAUUGAUGCAGAACCUCAGAAACGCUGUUCCACACUGCAUACAGCUGGUGGCUGUAAUGUACCACAGGGCACAGUUAGGCAGCCCUCUGUGAUCCCUGCUACUGGUGUGAAAUGUGGGGUACAUCUGGGCAGACCACACUUAGCGUGCUUUGUGUGGGCAGCUGCUGUUCCCCAUAGUGUAGAACCCAGAUGCACCCAUGUUUGCUGGAAAGCCUGGUUGACGUGUCUUCACUUACUAAUAAUGAACAACAAAGGUCUUCCCUUACGGUAACAAGAAAACACUUUAUUCCGAUUAUGAUCAUGCAAAUGCAUUUUAAUGUAUUCAAAUUUACCUUCGAUUUUUCUCAAAAGUUGUAUUGAUUCUUAUGAAGCGUUGCAUGCCAGUAUAUGUUCUCCCACACCUUUUCUCUCUCUCAGCCUUCAGUUUAUUAAGUUCAUCGUGAUAGCAGAAACCACUUCCACCCACACCACUCCAUCUCCUCCUGCCUUUUUGAUUUAAAUUAGGUUUUUUUUUUCCAUGUGUGUUUGCUCAGAUAUCAAAAUAGCACACCCACUUGCCUCCACAUCACCAUCUGCACAAAAACUCCCCAUAUCUCGCACGCACUGACAAAAGGAUGUUUUUAAAAACCACACAGUCGUUUGGUUGUGAAAAUGAUGCAUCACACUGAAUAAUACAUAAGUCGGUAAUCAUUCUGCAACAGGAGUCAAACUUGCUUAAAAGAAAAACUAAAAAGUGAGUGAGUGCUCUUCUUUCAGAGUAAACCUUCCAUUUUUAAAGCAGUAAAUGUAACAUCACUCUAGGACUAGUAGUGUUUAUGAAACUGCUCAGUGGGAUUUAAGUGUCUUUUAAGGUCUGUUGUUGUGUCUGUGCAUAAAGCAGCCUGUAGCUCAAUGUGAUUUAUGAUCAUGGAGAGGCAGGUAGGAUAGAGGUCCCCAACCUGAAAACAGCAAUCCAUUUAAAAUGUCAGAAGAUGAAUUUUAAACCUCCAAGAUGUUUGAUCAUAGAGGAAACCGAUUAAACUUUGCUCUAAUAAAUAUGGAUGGCCACUUGAGGCUGCCUCUGAAAGCAAGUCAGUUGCCACGGUCUCCUAUAUCAAAAUAUCAAACUGCCCAACUUUAGAGCAGAAAUAAACAUGGGAAAAAACCUGGUCUCUGUGGCUAAUACUCAUUUUUUAAAGGUUUAAAGUUUGGGUUUAUUACUGGCACAGCUGCUCUGAACAGCAGAUGGCUAGGUCACAGACUGUUAAACCUUCUGUCAGCUCAUUCAAGUUACUGAAAUGGACCUGUGUCUUUGCAGUUUUAUUUCAAUAUUUUAAUGUCAUUCCCAGAGAAAAAGUAGUCCAGAUGGCACGGUACACAAGGACAGGUCUCUAGUCCAUCAUAACGCCAAAACAGAGAGACAACCACACACUCUAAAAUCUAACCUACAACAAAUUCAAAAUCACCAGUUAACCUAAUACUCAUGUUUCUGGACUUUGGGAGGAAACUGGAGUUUCUGAAAGAAGCCCGUGCAGGCAAUGAGUGAACAUAAAAAGCCCCAGCUCACCAGGGGAGUCUCACCAAGACCUGUCAGAGGUGCUUGCUUAUAGAGGUUUGUCUGAUUGUUGGGGUUUUUCUAUACUAUUGUAGAGUCUUUACUUUACAAUAUAAAGCAAAUUGAGGUGAAAAAGUGUAGCAGAUAUGGAGGAAUUUUGAGAGGUCAAACCAAAAACUUGGAAAUCACAGCCAUAGCAGGUUUACUGGUUAUUAAAAGAUCUGUAAUUUCCUAUUCCAUAUUCUAGCUUCUUUGCACAUCCUUCAAGCCCUCCCCUUCCCUGUUUUCAAAGCUCACCCCCCUCACGGAGUGCCCCCCAGCCAGUGACCCAGCAAAGCAGGCCUGGCUCCAGCUGGUGCGUUGGUGGGGGCAAGCAGGUGGGUCGAGCAUGCCCAGCCAGCAGCGCAGCGGCGGGCCGGUCCAGCUUGAGCAGGGCCAGGUCGUAGUCGUGGGACUCAUCGUCAUAGUAAUGAUGUAGAUGGAUGCGUUGGACCCGCGCCACCUCCUCUGUAGGGCUGCUGCGGUUGAUCAGAAGUUUGCCAAGGUAGACUGUCCACACUGAGGGGGAGUAGAGACUGCAGCAGGAACACAAAGAGGUCAAAUGUGUUGUAGGGCCAAUAAGAAAGCGUUUUUUCCCUGAGCUAUUUAAAAAGAAAACACCCACACAGUUAGCAGUAUUAACUCAUGCCAAGAAAUAUCUGUUUAUACUUUUUCAGCUUUUUUAUCUUCCUCAUCCACAGACUCUGAAGGCUGCUUAAGCUUUUAAUCACCAUGCAAGAAAAUUAAGCAGAGAAAAAUAGGUAAUGCUCUAGAGGAUGCUGCAGCUAUAGUUUUGGGGAUGGUCCAGAUUGUGGGGUUGAAAAACACAAGUGUAUACAAAUCCAUAAAUACUCUGCCUCUGACUCAGACAGGCUGUCACAGUUAAACCCCGGUCAGCAAAGAUGCAACCGAAGGACAGAAGGAGGAAGCAGCAGCAGAAAUAAACUUGAUUUAUAAAACCACGACUAAAAUGCUCCAUCAAAGUCACGGCAGAGGAUGAUAAUAUUUUAAUCUUUACACAACAGAGAGCCUUUGGUUGUGUUCUUAUUAACAUCACUUUCUAACAUUUAAGUCAUCACACCACUUCCUUCCUUUUUGUUUCCUGCCCUUACCGGUCGUCAUAGAAACAGUGGGCAGCCGACACCACCCACUGACUGGCGAUUAAAGUGCCACCACAGAUGUGGUUACCCCGCACCUGCAGGCUGGCCUGCCAUGGCCACUCCCCCUCUGAGGCGUCCGUUCCCCCAACAAUGCGGCUGGAGAACUGCCUCAGGCCGCACUCUGGAUACACACACGCAGCCAUCCAAACCUACCUGACCCUAUGUGAAAAAGGGUUGGUGUUCCUAUAAACCAAGCGGUCGUUCAGCCUGAGUGGUUCAGUGGUUCACCUUCAGGGUCUUCGUGCAGAAUCUGUGGUUCCUUCAGUUACAGCAAGUCAUCGAGCAAAGCAGCCCAGACCAUCACUCUACCACCAACCGCCAUGUUUGACUGUUAGUAUGAUGAUGUUUUCAUGAAAUGCAGUGCUAGUUUUACACCAGAUGUAAACCUUGGCAAAUGUCAGACGAGUCUUUGUGUUCUUUUUUUCUCCUUGAUCUCUCCCAUGGAGGCCAUUUUUGCCCAGUUUCUUUCUCAUUGUUGUUGAACUCUGACCUUAACUAAGGCAAAUGAGUCCUGCAGUUCUUUAGAUGUUGUUCUAGGUUCUCUUGUGGCCUCCUGGAUGAGUCUUCAAUGCACUUUUGGAGUAAAUUUGGUAGGCCAGCCACUCCUCGAAAGGUUCACUGUUCCAAGGUUUCUCCUUUUGUGGAUAUGACUCUCACUGUAGUUUACUGUGAGUCCCAAAGCCUUAGAAAUGGCGUUCUAGCCCUUUCCAGACAGAUAGAUGUCACUGACUUUUUAUCUCACCUUUUUUAGAUGUCUUACUUCAUCACACAGGGCCAGGAAGGUUUAGAUAGCUUUUUCCCUUAUCCCUGGUUAUCUUUGUCUAAUAUUAAAAUUCUCUUGAUGAUGUCUGCAGAACGUCAAGUCGUGGUUGGCGCUAAACUUUCUUUGUUUUAACGAUUCUAAAACUGAAGUAAUGGUGUUUAGACCUGCUUCCACUGCUGUUCCGUGUGUUGAUCUGCAAUCCCUGAAAUCAUUCUGUAAACC
Haplochromis burtoni (Burton's mouthbrooder) is the source of this 6704-nucleotide long non-coding RNA. RefSeq lists it as uncharacterized. The transcript is spliced from 4 exons. The record is from RefSeq and is a predicted model, not a curated record. Lineage: Eukaryota; Metazoa; Chordata; Actinopteri; Cichliformes; Cichlidae.